GUAGGUGAACCUGCGGAAGGAUCAUUAACAAAUCAUGUGUGUGGUGGAGUGGUGAGGGGGUAACCCCUUUCAUCGUCCCCUCAUAUAUAAACCCCAAGCUGGGAAAGGCCUUUGGGCUUGGAACAGCUUUGGUAGCAGUCCCGAGAGGGGCUGUAGGUCGGGCCUUCCCGAAAGGGGGGCCAGGCCACAUAGACGCUUGACAUGUUUGACAGAGUACAGUUGCUUCAUAAAGAAUACAACUUUUAACAAU
RNAcentral lists this unclassified non-coding RNA (250 nucleotides) under plant metagenome. RNAcentral's name for it is "partial contains small subunit ribosomal RNA, internal transcribed spacer 1, and 5.8S ribosomal RNA". The record is from RNAcentral.